Molecule: ribosomal RNA, 407 nt
Filed under: uncultured bacterium
Lineage: Bacteria
Description: partial 16S ribosomal RNA
Rfam family: Bacterial small subunit ribosomal RNA
Source: RNAcentral
AUUGAACGCUGGCGGCAGGCCUAACACAUGCAAGUCGAGCGGAGCGGCGGACGGGUGAGUAAUGCCUAGGAAUCUGCCUGGUAGUGGGGGAUAACGUCCGGAAAGGGGAGCUAAUACCGCAUACUAUCAGAUGAGCCUAGGUCGGAUUAGCUAGUUGGUGGGGUAAAGGCCUACCAGGGCGACGAGCCGUAACUGGUCUGAGAGGAUGAUCAGUCACACUGGAACUGAGACACGGUCCAGACUCCUACGGGAGGAAGCAGUGGGGAAGUUUGGAAAAUGGGCGAAAGCCUGUUCCAGCCAUGCCGCGUGGGUGAAGAAGGUCUUCGGAUUGUAAAGCACUUAAAGUUGGGAGGCGUUACUAACAGAAUAAGCACCGGCUAACUCCGUGCCAGCAGCCGCGGUAAUUC